UGUGGUAGACGAAGAAGACGUCGGAAGCGUAAGAAAGAACGUACACGGAGGAAGAUCCAGUCGGAUCUAUUGGUUUCUGGUUUGUAAAACCAUGUGCAGAAGCAAGGUGAUCUAUCUUGAGGCUAGAGUCAUAGUCUGGUGUGAGAUUAUGAUGAAGAGACUUACUAGCUAUGUUGUGUUAUUCACAAGAAAGGAAAGAUCCGUAGAGGCUGAAGCAAGAAU
RNAcentral lists this long non-coding RNA (222 nucleotides) under Brassica napus (rape). Its description in RNAcentral is "long non-coding RNA (BNAP_LNC005766)". The record is from RNAcentral. Lineage: Eukaryota; Viridiplantae; Streptophyta; Magnoliopsida; Brassicales; Brassicaceae.